RNAcentral lists this ribosomal RNA (506 nucleotides) under uncultured bacterium. RNAcentral's name for it is "partial 16S ribosomal RNA". It matches the Rfam family "Bacterial small subunit ribosomal RNA", at positions 29 to 523 of the family's 1533-position model. The record is from RNAcentral.
AGUGAACGCUGGCGGUAGGCCUAACACAUGCAAGUCGAACGGCAGCACAGAGGAGCUCGCUCCUUGGGUGGCGAGUGGCGGACGGGUGAGGAAUACAUCGGAAUCUACUCUGUCGUGGGGGAUAACGUAGGGAAACUUACGCUAAUACCGCAUACGACCUACGGGUGAAAGCAGGGGAUCUUCGGACCUUGCGCGAGUGAAUGAGCCGACGUCGGAUUAGCUAGUUGGCGGGGUAAAGGCCCACCAAGGCGACGAUCCGUAGCUGGUCUGAGAGGAUGAUCAGCCACACUGGAACUGAGACACGGUCCAGACUCCUACGGGAGGCAGCAGUGGGGAAUAUUGGACAAUGGGCGCAAGCCUGAUCCAGCCAUACCGCGUGGGUGAAGAAGGCCUUCGGGUUGUAAAGCCCUUUUGUUGGGAAAGAAAUCCAUCUGGUUAAUACCCGGGUGGGAUGACGGUACCCAAAGAAUAAGCACCGGCUAACUUCGUGCCAGCAGCCGCGGUAA